UGGGGAAUUUUGCACAAUGGGGGAAACCCUGAUGCAGCGACGCCGCGUGAUUUAGAAGGCCUUCGGGUUGUAAAAAUCUUUUCUAUGGGAAGAAAAUGACAGUACCAUAGGAAUAAGGACCGGCUAAUUACGUGCCAGCAGCCGCGGUAAUACGUAAGGUCCGAGCGUUGUCCGGAAUCAUUGGGCGUAAAGGGUACGUAGGCGGGUAAGCAAGUUAGAAGUGAAAUCCUAUAGCUCAACUAUAGUAAGCUUUUAAAACUGCUCAUCUUGAGGUAUGGAAGGGAAAGUGGAAUUCCUAGUGUAGCGGUGAAAUUCGCAGAUAUUAGGAGGAAUACCGGUGGCGAAGGCGACUUUCUGGCCAUAACCUGACGCUGAGGUACGAAAGCGUGGGGAGCAAACAGG
This 402-nucleotide ribosomal RNA is filed under the name bacterium. Its description in RNAcentral is "partial 16S ribosomal RNA". It matches the Rfam family "Bacterial small subunit ribosomal RNA", at positions 355 to 776 of the family's 1533-position model. The record is from RNAcentral.